Molecule: long non-coding RNA, 7083 nt
Organism: Oryctolagus cuniculus (rabbit)
Lineage: Eukaryota; Metazoa; Chordata; Mammalia; Lagomorpha; Leporidae
Source: RefSeq, a predicted model, not a curated record
CCGCGCCGUGGCCGUGUUUAUCGCAACGAACGCUACAAGUUGCUGCCCGCAUCCCUCCUCCAGCCUUGACAGGGAACACGCGCGCCGCCCCCGCGUCCACACCGACUCUCGCAUCCCUCUCCAGCUUGGCCCGAGUCCCCAGGGCGAAGGCCCCCCGAGACCCCCUCCACCACAGCCCAUCGCCCCCAACCCAGCCUGGUUCUAGGCCGCGGCGACCCCUUAGGGGCGACUGUUGGCUCCUCCAAGUCUGACCACCGCCUCAGAGUCCCGGAACCGAGCCAGCACCGUCCGCCGGGACGCGGGGACACCCCUCGGGGGCCCCGAAUCACUGCGGAGCAGCCGCGCCUCCGCCGCCAGAUUGUGAACUACCUGCUGACAAAAUUUAUCUCUGCACAUUCUGAGGUCAGUUCCUAGUAAAUACUAGGAGUCAAUGGAUGUGGAAGGAGGAGAAGAAGGAAGGGAGAAGGGAAGAUGUUUUGUGUGAUUGUUGAUUAUCACCAGAGGGCUGGAUGGCAGAAGAAAACAUUUAGGCACUGUGGAUGCCAAAAGGAAUAGCACAUGGCCCCACCCUCAAGGGAUCCCCAGUUCAUGUUAUUUUGUGAUCUGUGCUAUAAUGAGAGAUUUACUUGGUGUGCAGUAACACAGAGGCGAGAAUGUCUAAUUCUUGACAGAGGAGACCAGAUGUUUGCAUUAAAUUUUGAAGAAUAAGCAGGCAUUUACCAGGCAAAAACACAGAUCCUGAAGAAUCAAGUUGUGCGCAGAGAACUGCAGGUGCUUCAUUAUCCCUGGAACGUGGUGUGGGACCAAUAAAAUAUCUAACACCUGCUACAGCUUAUUGCAAGUUAUGUAUCAAGUACAUUCUAAAUAUUUUAUUGAUAUCAUCUCCAUCAAUUUAUACAACCUUGCAAGAGACAUGAUGUGAAUUGUGUAAGAGCACCCAAAGGAGCAAAAGUUGGCUUCCUGAUCUCUGCAACUUUGUGGACUCUGUCAUUUCCACUUCCCUCUUGGGUUUCCACUUCUCUGUGCUGUGUCUGAGAUCUUGAAAUUGCUCAAAAGACAUAUAAGAAGUCAAGAAGAGCUCAGAUCAAUGAGUUCUAAGCUUUCAGGAACCCAGAGAAACACAGUUGGCAAGCUCCAAGUACUACAUCUUCUCAUGGUUAUAGACAAGAGUAUUCUUGCCACUUCCCUCCUCCAAGAGCUGUUCCAAAAUGCAUACUGUGAGUUUUCUCUGGGCAAUCAACAAAACAUCCCAGAACAGUGGUCUGAGGCCAAGUCUAGAAGGCUUCAGAGCCCACAUCCGGUUGCAGUUUUCCUCAUAACUCAGAAGGGGGAUGGUAGACAGACAGGCUAAAUAUUAAAUGACGCCCUGUGAGCCAUAUAUGCCUAUUUCAGCACCCUUAGGGAGCUCUGGGCAGCAGUGAUGAUGAUGCUUCUUCAUAGUUAUUGGAAACUUUAGAAAACCAGAUCAAUUACUUUUCCAAAGGUCUUCAUGUCAAUAAACCUUUCAAAUAAAUCUCCUUCCAAGGCUGCCCGACAUAAAAGUCUGUCUUUCCCAUGAGUUCACCUUCAGUUACUGCAGUCCAAACUAAUCAUUCCAUCACCUGCUGUCCAGCUUCCCAUUCUGACCUUCAGUUAUAAAGUUCUUUGAUAUUGUUUUUGGCUCUUCAGUGGGGACAUGGAUUGGCUCCCUGACUGGUUUGCCAGCUCCUUGAAGGCAGAGACCACAGCAUACAAAGAUAUUUCCAAGAGUUCCUGGGAAAUGUGUAUCAUGAAAAAAGUUUAUUUUGCACCAAAAUAAACUUACAUUUUCUAGAAAUUUCUCACUGGACCACAUUCACCCCACCCUUUACUCCCAGCUUUGAAUGGAAUUCUGUAGGAUUAGAGCUGUUUUGCCUCUACCCAAUUGAGUGCAAUAACAUCUCAAUGUGGACUCCCCAGUGACUGGGUCCACUCAUUGGUUUGAUUCGGAAGCACUAGCUAGUUUUGGACAGUGGAGUUUAGACAGCAAACCCUGAGUCUCAGGAACCUGUUUCCCAAUUUUCUCUCUGAUCUAUGUGACUCAGUUUCCUUCAUGGUAAGCUGAAGUGUGACAGUAACUGAGUACUUGGGGAGAGCAUUUGGUAAACAGUUAACACUUUGCUUGGUAGGACCACAACCCAUGUCAGAGUAUGUGGGGUUCAGGUCCUGGCUCUACUCCCAACCCCAGCAUCAUGCCACAGUGCACUCUGACAGACAUCAGGGGAUGGCUCAAGUAGUUGGGUCUCUGACAGCCUUAUAGGAGAUCUGGACUGAGGUCUGGGUUCAAGGCUUUGGCGGGGCCCAGCCCAGGCUACUGCAUGCAUUUAUGGAAUGAAACAGCAUGGAGGAGAUUUCUCUCUCUUUUUCUCUUCCAACUUUCAAAUAAAAUAAAAUAAAAAUAUAAAAGAAGAUUACUGUUUAUGGCCCUUGUCUAUACUCUUGAGGAACAGUGGCUUUUCUACUUACUGCUUGUUGAAUUGUUUAUUUAGUGGAGGGUUAAACUUGUGAUUAUAAAGUAAAUUGAAAGUAACAUUAAACUUGUGAUUAUAAAGUAAAUUGAAAUAUAAGAAAAGAAGGAGGAGGGAGGGUGGGAGUCUGUGAGUGAAGGAGUCUAGGGUGGGAAGUAUCAUUAUGCUCUUAAAAUCGUUUAUAUGAAAGAAGUGAAAUUUGCUCUUUUAUAUAAAUAAAAACUUUUCAAAAGAAGGAAUAGGUGCUCAAGAAUACUAGAAUCAAGAAGAAGAAUUUCUCUUUUGUGAAUCUCGUCAAACAAGAAAUACUGGUAACAGAGGAUGCCAUUCACUUCACGGAGGGGAAGCCGAAGCUUCUCUCGGAAGAGGGAGGAGGCUGCUGUGCUUCUCGAGCCCCUGCUGCUGCCCUGUUUGUCCACAUUUCCAAUCCUUAAACCUCUGUGACUUAAGGCCCUGAGAGUGGACCUAGCAAGAUUCUUCAGAUCUCCACAGCCUUCUAGGGUGUAAAAGAACAAUAAAAAUCAGCCUAGUAUACUUGAGUUCCCUUAGCAUCCCUCCCUCUAAACAGUCUGCCAUUCGAGCCUUUUCCAGAGGUAGCGUCCCAGUUAGAAAGAGCAGCUUGAAAGGGUCUCUGUUCAGAGAUGGUACUCUUGACUGGAGCAGAACAUGCAUUUGGAGCUGCUUUUCCAGGAAGGACAUCUGUGGAGUGCAGGCAGCAAACCCGAAGUCUCAGGAACUCGGCGGUGGUGCACUCACUGCCAGUACUCAUGACUUGAAGGCUGCUGAAGGUGAGGGUGUGUGUUAAUUCCUGCUACGCACGGCUUGCCACGCGUGCCUCUGUGAGGAGAGUGUCUGCUGUGGAACUUUCUGGAAAAACCCUUGGGAACAGGACCGGCGAUGGGAGGUCAGGGGCAGCACACUGGGCAGGAGUCUCUGCCAGUCCUUGAGUGAUUGCUGGGGAGCCCAUGGCUCACAGGGGUCACAGCUAGAUCUGCACUGAGCUGUAGGCCCCAGAAGUCAGGGGUUGGUUAUAUUGCUGGGCUGGAUACUGGAUUCCACACCAAGUUGGUACUCCUUAAAGGAUUGAGCUUGGUGAUCAUCACAGUUUACACAAAGUCAAGUGGUUAAUGAAUGAACUAGGAAUCAGAGUUUUAUAUCUAUGAGCUAAUUAUAUCUGAGUUUCAUAAUAACUUGAGGCUAUUUAUGAGCAAGUAUUAUUAUUAUAAGCCACAUUCUGCGGAUGAGAGGCCUGGCCCUGCAUCAAGAAGUAGAAUGAUGUAUUUAAAAGACAGAAAAUAAAGAGUUAAUUCUUUUGAUCUGGUAUGUGCAAUUCAAAGAAAACUUACUGUAAAUAGUGGACGCUAAUAGGUGGUUAUUUAAAAGAAAAUAUAGUCCACAAUGCCUGGAAAUUAGAAGCAGAAUUCCUUUUUUAUUUAGUAAAGAGUAUUUAAUAUAAACUUUUUAAAAAGGGUUAGACGUGCUUCAAUUGUUCUUAAACUGUUUUUGUAACACUGUUGCCAUAUUUCCAGAAUUUUUAUGGAAACUUGAGGGGAAAAAUUACUCUGUGAACUUUUUCUUAUUAAGGCAAAUAAAUAAAUAAAGGUGAAAUUUUGUGUAUGCAUCUGAAGCCCAGAUAAGAGUUCCUUUGUGGUUCUCACUAAUAUAGAAAAAUCUAUUUAAAUUUUCUCACUUCCCCUUUCCUUUCAAACCUGAUCCAGUUAGCCUUGGCUCUUAUCCCCUCCUUCCCCAGUUCUAAAACCAAAUGGAAUGUUUGUGCUGAGGGACAAGUCUGUACAGUGACUCAGAGGAAACAAGCAUUUAUAAACCAUGUUUCCCUAAAGCCUCAGUACAAACACAACUGUGGCCCACUUCCAGAUCGGACAGCGCAACACUCACUAGUGUGGCCCUGGCCAAACUAAGUGUCCAAGGGCCUUAGCCAAAAACAAGACCUGGGCUGCAAAUGGCCUUGAGGCACCACCACACCUUGCAGAUCUUUCAUCUCCAAGCGUCAAAACAACCUGUGCUGGAAUGAAGUCAGACGAAGAAGCGUUGUGCUUUGCAGGAAUGCACAAUUCUCUUGAGUUUUCAGUGUAGCUUGGCGUGACUUCAGCUUCAUUACAGGCUAGUCUCUUAAUUGUGUCCCUGAGUUUUCUUUUCAGGAUAAAUGUCUUCCCCUUGAGGCCCAACAUAAUCAUAUCUGCCUGGAAUACAAAGGGUUACCAGGGCAUUUGGUUUUCGCUCUGGAGUCAGCCUGAUCUAGUUUUGAAUCCCAAUUCCUUACUUCGUAUUUUCACUUGACAAAGAUUUAGGAAUACUGACUUUGUGCCAGGCUUGCAUGGUUCUAAGAGCUGAGAAUGAGGGAGGGAGAAGAGUAGACAGGGCUCCUGUCCUCCUGCUCUGACAUCCUAAUUAGAGGAACCAGGAGAAACAAACACAAAACACAAAGAUCAUGUGGCAGGGAUGGUGAUAACGUCAUGGAGAUAAAUUAGGGAGCUGGUUCCGGUGACCAGAGGCCUCUGCAUGAUGGAGAGGAGGUGGCUUCUAUGGAGCAGAGGCAGCUAAACAGAGACCUGAGUCACAUGAAAGAUUCAGCAGAAUAAGAACACGCCUGGGGCCAGCGAUAUGGCAUAGUGGGUAAGACACCACCUACAGUGCCGGCAUCCCAUAGGGGCACCAGUUCACGUUCCGGCGGCUCCACUUCUGAUCCAGCUCUUUGCUAUGGCCUGGGAAAGCAAUUGAAGAUGGCCAAAGGCUUUGGGCCCCUGCACCUGUGUGGGAGACCUGGAAGAAGCCCCUGGCUCCUGGCUUUGGAUUGGCUCAGCUCUGGCUAUAGCAGCCAUUUGGGGAGUGAACCAGCAGAUGGAAGUCCUUUCUCUCCAUCCCCUCCCCGCCUCCACCUCCUCUCUCUCUCUGCAACUCUGCCUUUCAAAUAAACAAACAAAAAUCUUCAAAAAAAAAAAAACCCAUCCCUACUCAGGAACACACAAAGACUUGAAAAAGAAGGAAUCUUGGACUGCUCGAGGAACAGAAAGUCUACAGGGUGAGAGAGGGGGCAGUGGUGCAAGAUGAAUCUGGGACGCAUGGAGGAUCAAAGAUCCACUCAUUCUUUGAGAAGGCUCCAGGGAGGGGUGGAUCUAUAUCCCCUCCCCUUUAAUCUGAGCUGGCCUCUGAGUGCAGUGACCAUGAGCUUAUGGUGGAAGUGAUGCAGCACCAGUCCUGGCCGUGGCCUAUAUGAUGAUUGCCAGCUUCUAUCUUGGUUCUCUGAGGCCUUACCAAGGAUGAGGGACCUCUUUCUGCCAAGGGCCAUUUGGAUAUUUAUAACAUCAUUCACAGGCCACACAAAAUUAUCAACUUAAAAAUUAGCCUGCUAUAGAUUAAUUGAAUUUUUUAAAACGAUUUUAUUUAUUUGAGAGGUAGAGUUACAAACGGUGAGAGGGAGAUACAGAGAGAAAGGUCUUCCAUCCACUGGUUCACUCCCCAAUUGGCUGCAAUGGCCAGAGCUGCACUGAUCCGAAGCCAGGAGCCAGGAGAUUCUUCAUAGUCUCCCAUGUGGGUGCAGGGGCUCAAGGACUUGGGCCAUCUUCUACUGCUUUCCCAGGCAGUAGCAGAGAGCAGGACUGGAAGAGGAGCAGCCAGGACUAGAAACUGUGCCCAUAUGGGAUGACGGCACUGCAGGCAGCGGCUUCACCCACUACAGCACAGUGCUGGCCCCUAGAUUCAUUGAAUUUCAAAUCCAUCCAUCCUGUGGUUAUCUUGGUAGGGUCAGACCAAAUGGUUUUGCAAGCUGCAGACUGUGCAUUCCCCAACCCUGCAACUGAUGCAUCAGAAGGUUGAGGAUCUCUUGCUGAGAGUACAUGAAGAAGAGGAUGUCACUGAGCCCAGCCUUCCAGGUGCCCCUGCCACAGGGCCAGACAAGUGAGUGUAAUCACCCUGGAUCAGCUGAGCCACCAAGUGGCUCCAGAAAGUGCCUCACGAGACAAAAAAAUCAGCUAAACCAAACCUCACCCAAAGUCCUGACACACAAAAUCAGGAGAUACAAUAUUUUGGUGGUUUUAAGCCACUGAGUUUUGGGGGUCAGUUCUUUAAUAGAGAAUAGAGAGACAGGCCACAGUCAGGUUGCUGUGACCUUGAGCCAGGACACAGUGUGGCUUGAGCUGAGUAAGAAACCAUGGGGGAGCUUAUGUAGGAAAUGUGGGGCCUACUACAUUCUAAAACUUAACUUCGUCAUUUGUUCCUGGCUUCCUACUUCUUUGAUCUUGUACAAGUAAACUGAGCUAUCCGUGUCUUGGUUUCUCUACCUGAAAAAUAAAAUAAUAGUUUCUACAUCAUAGGGUUGUUUGGGGAUGAAGUAAUAUAAAAUAAUUAGCACAGUGCAUAGCGCCUGGUUCAGGGCCCGAUGAAUGGUAGCUGUACCUGUUUCUAUUUUUCUGGCUCAGUUCCUACCUGAAGAAUCAAGGAGACUCCAGUUCAGGAAGUCCUUAGGGGAAUUAUAUACAUGCUCACAUCCAGGGGCCUUUGCCACCCCAGUUGCCUAUCCACCAGGAUGGGCCAGCAAAACUGUGAUUUGGUAUCCUCUAUGGCCUCCUCUCCUUUUCUA